GUGGGGAAUAUUGCACAAUGGGGGAAACCCUGAUGCAGCAACGCCGCGUGGAGGAUGACGCAUUUCGGUGUGUAAACUCCUUUUAUAAGGGAAGAUAAUGACGGUACCUUAUGAAUAAGCACCGGCUAACUCCGUGCCAGCAGCCGCGGUAAUACGGAGGGUGCAAGCGUUACUCGGAAUCACUGGGCGUAAAGGAUGCGUAGGCUGUAAUAUAAGUCAGAAGUGAAAUCCAACGGCUUAACCGUUGAACUGCUUUUGAAACUGUUUUACUAGAAUAUGGGAGAGGUAGAUGGAAUUGGUGGUGUAGGGGUAAAAUCCGUAGAUAUCACCAGGAAUACCGAUUGCGAAGGCGAUCUACUGGAACAUUAUUGACGCUGAGGCAUGAAAGCGUGGGGAGCAAACAGGAUUAGAAACCCCGGUAGUCC
This 425-nucleotide ribosomal RNA is filed under the name uncultured bacterium. RNAcentral describes it as "partial 16S ribosomal RNA". It matches the Rfam family "Bacterial small subunit ribosomal RNA", at positions 354 to 796 of the family's 1533-position model. The record is from RNAcentral.